This 701-nucleotide long non-coding RNA is filed under the name Solanum tuberosum (potato). RNAcentral describes it as "long non-coding RNA (STUB_LNC002128)". The record is from RNAcentral. Lineage: Eukaryota; Viridiplantae; Streptophyta; Magnoliopsida; Solanales; Solanaceae.
CCUCUUUUUCAUUUUAGUUUUUUUUCUUAUUUUAAUACGUGUUUUUUGCUUUUCUUAAUUCAACUUGUAUUUUUAAAAUUUUUGCUCAAAUCUGAUGCCAUUUUCUUUCCUUUUCUCCUCAUAAUGAAUUAAAAUUAAAAUAUCCUCUUUUUUUAUUUGUUUUUAAAAUACUAUCUCCUACUAUUUAAGUAAUUUAUUAUUAUUCUCUGCACAUUUAGGGAGACUAUAUAUGGAACAUAUUAAAAUUUAUAUAGAACAAAAUAUAAAUUUAGGGAGAUCAUAUAUGGAGCAUAUUAAGACUUAUAUAUGGAACAAAAUAAAUGAAUCAUUCUUUGUAUAUUGAACUUUAAUUUUGGCAAUAUUAUAUAUAUGAAGUUUUUUUUUUUGAUAUCUCUAUUUUUCUUAUCCCUCUCUGUUUCUUUUCAUUUUUCUUUCUCUCCUUGAUUACUCUACAUAUUUUCUUUUUGUCUCUUCCUAAUUUUAUGCAAAAUUCCUCAAUAUCAAUACUUUCUUAAAAUAUUGUCACUUUUUCCCCAUACAAAUUCAAAGUAUUUCAAUGAAAAAAAAAGAACAUAAGAAGAAAAAUAAUAACAUUCAUACAAGAGUUUGAGUUGGAAAUUAUACCUAUCAAAUUAACCGUAUGUAUAUUUAGGCUAAAACUUCUUUAAAAGUUUCAAUUCAUGUCUCUUUUUUUCUUCUUG